Molecule: ribosomal RNA, 482 nt
Filed under: uncultured bacterium
Lineage: Bacteria
Description: partial 16S ribosomal RNA
Rfam family: Bacterial small subunit ribosomal RNA
Source: RNAcentral
GACGAACGCUGGAGGCGUGCUCAACACAUGCAAGUCGAACGAUGAAAUGGAGCUUGCUCCAUGGAUUAGUGGCGAACGGGCGAGUAACACGUGAAUAACCUGCCCUUAAUUUUGGAAUAACCCAGGGAAACCUGGGCUAAUACCGGAUAAGUAAACCUGUGGCAUCACAUGGUUUUGGAAAGUUUUUCGAUUAAGGAUGGAUUCGCGGCCUAUCAGCUUGUUGGUGAGGUAAUGGCUCACCAAGGCGACGACGGGUAGCCGGCCUGAGAGGGUGGACGGCCACACUGGGACUGAGACACGGCCCAGACUCCUACGGGAGGCAGCAGUGGGGAAUAUUGCGCAAUGGACGAAAGUCUGACGCAGCGACGCCUCGUGAGGGACGAAGGUCUUCGGAUUGUAAACCUCUUUCAGCAGGGACGAAGCGAAAGUGACGGUACCUGCAGAAGAAGCACCGGCUAACUAUGUGCCAGCCGCCGCGGUAA